Molecule: ribosomal RNA, 372 nt
Filed under: uncultured bacterium
Lineage: Bacteria
Description: bacterial SSU rRNA
Rfam family: Bacterial small subunit ribosomal RNA
Source: RNAcentral
UGGCGGCAUGCUUAACNCAUGCAAGUCGAACGGAAUGCUUCGGCAUUCAGUGGCGCACGGGUGAGUAACACGUGGGAACCUACCCUGGGAUGGGGAAUAACCACUGGAAACGGUGGCUAAUACCGCAUACGCCCUACGGGGGAAAGGCUUCGGCCGUCCGAGGAGGGGCCCGCGCCCGAUUAGCUUGUUGGUGGGGUAAUGGCCUACCAAGGCUACGAUCGGUAGCUGGUCUGAGAGGAUGAUCAGCCACACUGGGACUGAGAUACGGNCCAGACUCCUACGGGAGGCAGCAGUGGGGAAUAUUGGACAAUGGGCGAAAGCCUGAUCCAGCAAUGCCGCGUGAGUGAUGAAGGNCUUAGGGUUGUAAAGCUC